Macaca mulatta (Rhesus monkey) is the source of this 876-nucleotide non-coding RNA. The record is from RefSeq and is a predicted model, not a curated record. NCBI's taxonomy places the organism in Eukaryota, Metazoa, Chordata, Mammalia, Primates, Cercopithecidae.
AGAAGGCUCCGGCUGCUGCUGGGUGGAGAAGCCACACAAGUCCCUGGGCUGGAAAUUGCUGAAUCUACUUUGACUCGGUUCCACUCAAUGAAAGUAGCAGCGCCGUCUUCAAGGAGGGGAUACGGCUGCCCGACUGGAAUUUAACGGAAGGGCUCAGUGCCACUGGAGUUGUUGGCCCAGUCACUGCAGAUGCCUGAUGAGAUAACGAUGGCUCCAGGCUAGGACAGCAGGAGGGACACCAAGGGAAGUCUUCGAUUCUACCCUGUGAGAUGAACCCCUGGAAUCUCAGCUCCCACCCCAGAUCUGCCACUCCCAUGGGGCUUCCAUCCACAGAAGCCAGAGACGCCUCAGAUAUGCCAUUCCCACAGGGUUAGCAUCCACAGAAGCCAGACAUCCCAGAUCUGCCACUCCCAUGGGGCCACAAUCCACAGAAACCAGACACAUCCCAGAUCUGCCACUCCCACGGGGCCACCAUCCACAGAAGCCAGAGAUGCCCCAGAUCUGCCACUGCCAUGGGGCCUCCAUCCACAGAAGCCAGAGAUGCCCAGAUCUGCCACUGCCAUGGGGCCUCCAUCCACAGAAGCCAGAGAUGCCCAGAUCUGCCACUGCCAUGGGGCCUCUAUCCACAGGGGACACACUCCAGCUCCCAAGAAGCCUGGUCGGCCCUGGCGUGGCUUCUGUGUGGCUGGAGCUGCUUCUAGCACUUCAGAUGCCAUUGACUGGUAGAGCAACUGCUCACGUGAUUGGACCUGACCCAUUCUGUCAAGAUGUGUGAGUCUGUCCUUCCCCGCCUAGGGCACCUGGCCCAUCUCUGUCUAGAGUGACCUCAUAGUCAUACCAUUGCUUAGCAGAUCAAGAAACUAUGGUCUCAACUUU